CUUUCAGCAACGGAUCUCUUGGUUCUCGCAUCGAUGAAGAACGCAGCGAAAUGCGAUAAGUAGUGUGAAUUGCAGAAUUCAGUGAAUCAUCGAAUCUUUGAACGCACAUUGCGCCUCCUGGUAUUCUGGGGGGCAUGCCUGUUCGAGAGUCA
This 152-nucleotide ribosomal RNA is filed under the name uncultured Pezizales. RNAcentral's name for it is "5.8S ribosomal RNA". It matches the Rfam family "5.8S ribosomal RNA". From Rfam's summary of the family: 5.8S ribosomal RNA (5.8S rRNA) is a component of the large subunit of the eukaryotic ribosome. It is transcribed by RNA polymerase I as part of the 45S precursor that also contains 18S and 28S rRNA. Lineage: Eukaryota; Fungi; Ascomycota; Pezizomycetes; Pezizales. The record is from RNAcentral.